Non-coding RNA from Onychomys torridus (southern grasshopper mouse), 372 nucleotides. The record is from the annotation of a RefSeq genome assembly. Lineage: Eukaryota; Metazoa; Chordata; Mammalia; Rodentia; Cricetidae.
AUGAGGGUCCCCACUCAGCUCCUGGAGUUGUUGCUGCUCUGGCUCACUGGUGCCAGUUGUGACAUCCAGUUGACUCAGUCUCCAGCCUCCUUAUUUGCAUCUCUGAGAGACAGUGUCACCAUCACAUGCCAGGCAAAUCAGGAUAUUGAACAGAGUUUAGUAUGGUAUCAGCAGAAACCAGGGGAACCUCCUAAGCUUCUGAUCUACAGUGCAAACAGCUUGAGAGAUGGGGUCCCAUCAAGGUUCAGUGGCAGUGGAUCUGGACAACAGUUUUUUCUCAAGAUCAGCAACCUGCAGUCUGAAGAUGUUGGAACCUAUUACUGUCAACAUGGUUACAGUAUUCCUCCCACAGUGAUUCAAGCCAUGACAUGA